GCACCGGCUAACUCCGUGCCAAGCAGCCGCGGUAAUACGGAGGGUGCGAGCGUUAAUCGGAAUUACUGGGCGUAAAGCGCAUGCAGGUGGUUUGUUAAGUCAGAUGUGAAAAGCCCCGGGGCUCAACCUCGGAAUUGCAUUUGAAACUGGCAAACUAGAGUACUGUAGAGGGGGUAGAAUUUCAGGUGUAGCGGUGAAAUGCGUAGAGAUCUGAAGGAAUACCGGUGGCGAAGGCGGCCCCCUGGACAGAUACUGACACUCAGAUUGCGAAAGCGUGGGGAGCAAACAGGAUUAGAUACCCCUGGUAG
Molecule: ribosomal RNA, 308 nt
Filed under: uncultured bacterium
Lineage: Bacteria
Description: bacterial SSU rRNA
Rfam family: Bacterial small subunit ribosomal RNA
Source: RNAcentral